This 468-nucleotide ribosomal RNA is filed under the name uncultured bacterium. RNAcentral describes it as "partial 16S ribosomal RNA". It matches the Rfam family "Bacterial small subunit ribosomal RNA", at positions 28 to 507 of the family's 1533-position model. The record is from RNAcentral.
GACGAACGCUGGCGGCGUGCUUAACACAUGCAAGUCGAACGGAAAGGCCCUGCUUUUGUGGGGUGCUCGAGUGGCGAACGGGUGAGUAACACGUGAGUAACCUGCCCUUGACUUUGGGAUAACUUCAGGAAACUGGGGCUAAUACCGGAUAGGAGCUCCUGCUGCAUGGUGGGGGUUGGAAAGUUUCGGCGGUUGGGGAUGGACUCGCGGCUUAUCAGCUUGUUGGUGGGGUAGUGGCUUACCAAGGCUUUGACGGGUAGCCGGCCUGAGAGGGUGACCGGCCACAUGGGGGCUGUGAUGCGGCCCGGCCUCCUCCGGGAGGCAGCAGUGGGGUGUGUUGCACGAUGGGCUGAGGUCUGAUGCCGCACCGCCGCGGUCGGGAUGCGGGCCUUCCGGUUGUAAACCGCGUUCGCCUGGGACACAGCGUGAGUGACGGUGAUGGGUAAGGACGCACCGCCUACCUACGUG